Molecule: long non-coding RNA, 309 nt
Organism: Pseudopipra pipra
Lineage: Eukaryota; Metazoa; Chordata; Aves; Passeriformes; Pipridae
Exons: 3
Source: RefSeq, a predicted model, not a curated record
UGAGUUCUCUGCAUCGCAAGGCAGGGGCAUCGUUGGGCCCCGCACAGACUUUGAGGUGAAGCUGGAUUUCAAGGCCGAGAAGAUUGGCAUCACAAAUAAGAUGAUCCAACUAGAGGUUUCAGAUACAGAAAACAUCCUGGGCAUUGUUCAGGCUGAAACCAUCAAAGUCUCUGUGGAGGUCUACGAUGUUAAUCUGAGCAUCAACAUGCCUGAAGGUCCAGAUGGCAGCUUGGAAUUUGGAACCAUUAAUGUCCUGGAUAAUAAGAAGCAAGUCCUGAGUCUGCAGAACAAAGGCUUAUAUGACAUUGA